UACGGAGGAUUCAAGCGUUAUCCGGAUUUAUUGGGUUUAAAGGGUGCGUAGGCGGUUUGAUAAGUUAGAGGUGAAAUGUUAGGGCUUAACCCUGAAACUGCCUCUAAUACUGUUGAGCUAGAGAGUAGUUGCGGUAGGCGGAAUGUAUGGUGUAGCGGUGAAAUGCAUAGAUAUCGCGCAGAACUCCGAUUGCGGAGGCAGCGUACCGGCGCCACACUGACGCUGAGGCACGAAAGCGUGGGGAUCGAACAGG
Molecule: ribosomal RNA, 253 nt
Filed under: uncultured Rikenellaceae bacterium
Lineage: Bacteria; Pseudomonadati; Bacteroidota; Bacteroidia; Bacteroidales; Rikenellaceae
Description: partial 16S ribosomal RNA
Rfam family: Bacterial small subunit ribosomal RNA
Source: RNAcentral